GCCCCAUGGCUCAGUGGUUAGAGCACCCGGGCUCGUAAACCGGGGGUCGAGAGUUCGAAUCUCUCUGGGGGCA
This 73-nucleotide transfer RNA is filed under the name Thrips palmi. RNAcentral describes it as "tRNA-Thr". It matches the Rfam family "tRNA". Rfam says of the family: Transfer RNA (tRNA) molecules are approximately 80 nucleotides in length. Their secondary structure includes four short double-helical elements and three loops (D, anti-codon, and T loops). Lineage: Eukaryota; Metazoa; Arthropoda; Insecta; Thysanoptera; Thripidae. The record is from Rfam by way of RNAcentral.